AUUUGGGGUUAAGUCAUUCGGAGGUGGUGCUUUGAUGUUAGGUCGUGUUCGGUGUUUCUGUACAAGCAUUUUUUUUAAUCAAAGUUAUAUAUGUUCAAUUAUUUAAUUCAUGAAUAAGUUGUGGUUAUUUUGGUUCGUGUUUGUGUUGGUUUGCUUGUAUGCUUAUAUCUGGAAACUUUGUUUAUGUGUACAAAACAGAUUUACUCUGUUUUUCGUGAAUAAAACAUAGCUCUUUCUUGUUUCAUUAGUUGUAUAGUUUUGAUCAAAAGCAUAGUAUCCUGCAAUAAAUUAACAAAAAACAUAAUAAUUUUCAACAGAUCCACCAUACAAUGUCUAUUUUUCUAAGUUUUGAAAAACGUAGUUGAUGUUGCCAUUGAAAGAGACGAUGUUGGCGAUACACGAGAAAAUAUACCAUGCACAAAAAAGAAGAAAUGAUAAUAUAUAAUAAUUUUAAAAUAGAUAGACAUAUAUAUAUUGGAUAGUUUAGUCAAUUUACAUAUACACAAGUGUAGUUUAAAAAAUAAAUAAAUAAUAGUGUAGUUUUCAAAUUAAAAUCUUAUUGAUGUAUUUUUCCAAAUUUUCCGUAUUAUUUAUUUGUGUUCAUUUACGUAUUAUUUAUAUAAUUAAAUUAGAGUAAACACAUAAAU
RNAcentral lists this long non-coding RNA (647 nucleotides) under Brassica napus (rape). Its description in RNAcentral is "long non-coding RNA (BNAP_LNC022453)". The record is from RNAcentral. Lineage: Eukaryota; Viridiplantae; Streptophyta; Magnoliopsida; Brassicales; Brassicaceae.